CUUGCUUUCUUUUGCUGGCGACCGGCGCACGGGUGAGUAACACGUAUCCAACCUACCUUUACUCGGGGAUAGCCUUUCGAAAGAAAGAUUAAUACCCGAUAGCAUAAUGAUUCCGCAUGGUUUCAUUAUUAAAGGAUUCCGGUAAAGGAUGGGGAUGCGUUCCAUUAGGUUGUUGGUGGGGUAACGGCCCACCAAGCCUUCGAUGGAUAGGGGGUUCUGAGAGGAAGGUCCCCCCACAUUGGAACUGAGACACGGUCCAAACUCCUACGGGAGGCAGCAUG
RNAcentral lists this ribosomal RNA (281 nucleotides) under uncultured bacterium. Its description in RNAcentral is "partial 16S ribosomal RNA". It matches the Rfam family "Bacterial small subunit ribosomal RNA", at positions 72 to 353 of the family's 1533-position model. The record is from RNAcentral.